This 462-nucleotide ribosomal RNA is filed under the name uncultured bacterium. RNAcentral describes it as "partial 16S ribosomal RNA". It matches the Rfam family "Bacterial small subunit ribosomal RNA", at positions 28 to 507 of the family's 1533-position model. The record is from RNAcentral.
GACGAACGCUGGCGGCGUGCUUAACACAUGCAAGUCGAGCGGAAAGGCCCUUCGGGGUACUCGAGCGGCGAACGGGUGAGUAACACGUGAGUAACCUGCCCCAGACUUUGGGAUAACCCUCGGCAACGGGGGCUAAUACCGGAUACGACACAGCUUCGCAUGGGGUCUGUGUGGAAAGUUUUUCGGUUUGGGAUGGGCUCGCGGCCUAUCAGCUUGUUGGUGGGGUGAUGGCCUACCAAGGCGACGACGGGUAGCCGGCCUGAGAGGGCGACCGGCCACACUGGGACUGAGACACGGCCCAGACUCCUACGGGAGGCAGCAGUGGGGAAUAUUGCACAAUGGGCGGAAGCCUGAUGCAGCGACGCCGCGUGAGGGAUGACGGCCUUCGGGUUGUAAACCGCUUUCAGCAGGGACGAAGCGUAAGUGACGGUACCUGCAGAAGAAGCGCCGGCCAACUACGUG